CUCUUGGCUCUGGCAUCGAUGAAGAACGCAGCGAAAUGCGAUAAGUAAUGUGAAUUGCAGAAUUCCGCGAAUCAUCGAAUCUUUGAACGCACAUUGCGCCCGGCGGUAUUCUGCCGGGCAUGCCUGUUCGAGCGUCAUUUCAACCCUCAAGCUCCGCUUGGUGUUGGGAAGUCCCGUGCCUCGGCGCGCGGGACCCCCGAAAUGAAGUGGGCUGUCCCAACCGACACACCUUGCGUAGUAAAGUCUCUUUGUCUCGCAACGGCGCGCGGAUGGCGGCAAGCCGUUAACCUACAUACAUAUAUGUUUGUGGUUGACCUCGAAUCAUGUAUGAGGACCCGCUGAGCUUAAGCAUAUCAAUAAGC
This 362-nucleotide ribosomal RNA is filed under the name Parasporendocladia bactrospora. Its description in RNAcentral is "eukaryotic LSU rRNA". The stretch from base 2 to 137 matches the Rfam family "5.8S ribosomal RNA", at positions 19 to 154 of the family's 154-position model. Lineage: Eukaryota; Fungi; Ascomycota; Sordariomycetes; Chaetosphaeriales; Chaetosphaeriaceae. The record is from RNAcentral.